GGGAUGAGGAGAGACAAUGUGGCAUGGUGGUUAAGCACGUGGACUUGGAGCCAGACGGCCUGGGGCUGAAUCCUGGCUCCGCCUCUCACCAACUGUGACCUUGGGCAAGGAAGCUGGUUCAGUGGGGCUGUCGACCACAGGUACCAACCCUGCCCUCCCCUACAGAGUAUGUGACGUAGGCACAGCCAAUGACUGCAUCCCAGUGCUUCGACCAGUCACAGGGUCAAGGAAGUUCUGAGGGUACCCCUCACUCAAGCUCCAGGCGUCAGGAAAAGAACAUUCCACGAAGUCCAUCUGGAAGACGGUCCUUUCCCUGCUGCCCCCAGCUUCUAGAACAUUCCCUGGAACACAGCAAGUGUUCAGUAUUGUUCAUGGAGUGACAGAUGUCUCAGCCAAGAAGGCUCAGCUUAGGGACCGUCACCUCCAGGAAGCCUUCCCAACCUGCACUGAUCACUUCUUCUUCUUCUCUUUGGGAUUAUCACUUGUAUUGUAAUAAAAUCUUGUUUUUUUUCUUUAAAAAAUAUUAUUUGCAUUCAGCAAAAUUCACCCUUUUUGAUAUACAGUUCUGAGGUUUUUUUUAGUUCUAUAAGUUUUGUCAAAUAUGUAAAGUUGUAAUCUCCAACACAAUCAAA
Molecule: long non-coding RNA, 632 nt
Filed under: Homo sapiens (human)
Lineage: Eukaryota; Metazoa; Chordata; Mammalia; Primates; Hominidae
Description: non-protein coding lnc-PLCG2-1:13
Source: RNAcentral